RNAcentral lists this ribosomal RNA (426 nucleotides) under uncultured bacterium. Its description in RNAcentral is "partial 16S ribosomal RNA". It matches the Rfam family "Bacterial small subunit ribosomal RNA", at positions 355 to 773 of the family's 1533-position model. The record is from RNAcentral.
UGGGGAAUAUUGGACAAUGGGCGAAAGCCUGAUCCAGCCAUGCCGCGUGUGUGAAGAAGGUCUUCGGAUUGUAAAGCACUUUUAAGUUGGGAGGAAGGGCAGUAAAUUAAUACUUUGCUGUUUUGACGUUACCGACAGAAUAAGCACCGGCUAACUCUGUGCCAGCAGCCGCGGUAAUACAGAGGGUGCAAGCGUUAAUCGGAAUUACUGGGCGUAAAGCGCGCGUAGGUGGUUCGUUAAGUUGGAUGUGAAAUCCCCGGGCUCAACCUGGGAACUGCAUUCAAACUGACGAGCUAGAGUAUGGUAGAGGGUGGUGGAAUUUCCUGUGUAGCGGUGAAAUGCGUAGAUAUAGGAAGGAACACCAGUGGCGAAGGCGACCACCUGGACUGAUACUGACACUGAGGUGCGAAAGCGUGGGGAGCAAAA